AGCCUUAGCGUGAUGGCAUAAAAGUAGCGUAAGUGAUUUGUUUUUUUAAUGGUUUCAAGUAUGAAUGAAGUUUUUAGCAGCUUUUUUAUUUACUUUUUGUUUGAAUUAUUUUUUUAAUUAAAAAUUAUUAGUUAAGGUAUUACAAAGAUAAGUCUUCGGAAAUUUUGUUUUGAAUUUUGAAAUUUUUAUUUUUAAUUUUUUCUUGGGGAUGGAUUUUAAGAAAGUUUUAUACUAUUGUUAUUAUUAAAAAUUACUCCGGAGUUAACAGGGUUGUAGACAUAUAAAUAGGUUUUUAUAUUAGUGUGCUGCGCUACAUCGAUGUUGUAUAUUUUUUUUGAUAAUGGAGAGGUUUUUUUUGUUUUGAGACUGUUCUUCUUGUAUAAAAAAUUGACUUGAUAUUAGUUUAGUUCGUCGUGAGACAGAGCGGUUUAUCUUGUGUAAUUUUGGUGCUUGGCGGUGUUAGUACGAAAGGAAUGCAAUGUGGGU
This 486-nucleotide ribosomal RNA is filed under the name Onchocerca volvulus. Its description in RNAcentral is "partial 16S ribosomal RNA". The record is from RNAcentral. Lineage: Eukaryota; Metazoa; Nematoda; Chromadorea; Rhabditida; Onchocercidae.